This 975-nucleotide long non-coding RNA is filed under the name Homo sapiens (human). RNAcentral describes it as "HSALNT0359992". The record is from RNAcentral. Lineage: Eukaryota; Metazoa; Chordata; Mammalia; Primates; Hominidae.
AACCACACGCAAAUACGGCAGCAUUCUCAAAGGUGGGUUCUGGGAUCCCAGCCAUCAUGGGUACUGCUUGAGAUGAUACGCAAAAAGGACAUGAACGUUUUCCUCCCUAAUGGGUCCUUUGGGGGCAAUUUGCUAAAACAUAACAGGUUGUUUUAGAUGCUUCUUAAAAUUGGUAAUCAUAUCCCAUUCUUUCUUUAUCUCAUAGAACUCGGGAUGCCUACCCAACACAGCCUGAUUAUGCUAUAUGUGCUUAGUAAGUACAUUCAAUGAAUGACUAAAUGAAAGACAGGGAGGAAGAAGGAAACAGUCCAGAACUGAAAGGGAUGAGAAGAGAAAAAAUGUGGAGAAAGAGAAGGAUGGGUAACAAAGGAGCCAGCAGUCACUGAUCAGUAGAGUAUAGGUGAGAGAGGGGAAAGGAGACAGCUGCAGAUAAUGGAAAAUAACAAAACAAAACUGAGGUCUGGGAAGCUCCGAUUUUAAAAAGUGAACAUGAGUUAUGAGACUAAUUCAGAUACUGGCCACACCAGGAGGCCCCCGCCCAGGAGAUGAGGAUGACCACCAACUGCUGAGAAUCUUUGUAAACUCAAAUCAAGGUGUAUUUAUUGCACAGGCACAAUAAAUGAACAAGGCAUCUUAAGUACUACAAUGACAGGUGAGUGGGUCAGGCACAGUGGCUUGGCUAGUCAUGAUUAGCAAAGGAACUUCAAAGAGUUUUGGAGCCUGCUUUAUAUCUGUGAAAUGGGAAUUAUUUCCAUCUCAAAGGUUUGAGGGGAUUCGCUGAGAGAAACUUCUUAGCAUGGGAUCUCCAGAAACUGGAAGCCACAGAGAAAGCAGCGGCCAGAGGGAGGAGGAAUCGGACAGGCUGAUCACUUGGAGUGUUCGCCUAAGCAGUUUCUAGAAAUGGAGGCAGGGACCAUCAGGAAGCUCAAAACCUUUGCUUCAGCCGAGUUUGCAGAACGCCCUGUGAGGAGAAUG